RNAcentral lists this ribosomal RNA (504 nucleotides) under uncultured bacterium. Its description in RNAcentral is "partial 16S ribosomal RNA". It matches the Rfam family "Bacterial small subunit ribosomal RNA", at positions 30 to 523 of the family's 1533-position model. The record is from RNAcentral.
AUUGAACGCUGGCGGCAGGCCUAACACAUGCAAGUCGAGCGGUAGCACAGGGAGCUUGCUCCUGGGUGACGAGCGGCGGACGGGUGAGUAAUGUCUGGGAAACUGCCUGAUGGAGGGGGAUAACUACUGGAAACGGUAGCUAAUACCGCAUAACGUCGCAAGACCAAAGAGGGGGACCUUCGGGCCUCUUGCCAUCAGAUGUUCCCAGAUGGGAUUAGCUAGUAGGUGGGGUAACGGCUCACCUAGGCGACGAUCCCUAGCUGGUCUGAGAGGAUGACCAGCCACACUGGAACUGAGACACGGUCCAGACUCCUACGGGAGGCAGCAGUGGGGAAUAUUGCACAAUGGGCGCAAGCCUGAUGCAGCCAUGCCGCGUGUAUGAAGAAGGCCUUCGGGUUGUAAAGUACUUUCAGCGGGGAGGAAGGCGAUAAGGUUAAUAACCUUGUCGAUUGACGUUACCCGCAGAAGAAGCACCGGCUAACUCCGUGCCAGCAGCCGCGGUAA